Molecule: non-coding RNA, 73 nt
Organism: Desulfotomaculum sp. 46_296
Lineage: Bacteria; Bacillati; Bacillota; Clostridia; Eubacteriales; Desulfotomaculaceae
Source: Rfam
AGGGGAGUAGCUCAAUUGGUAGAGCAACGGUCUCCAAAACCGUAGGUUGCGGGUUCGAUCCCUGUCUCCCCUG